AUGCCGCGCCAUCUGCUGCUCCCGCUCCUCCUCGUCGCCGCGGUGGGCGCCUCCGGCGGGGACGCGGGAGGCGAGAGGACGUACAUCGUGCGGGUGGACGCCGACGCGAAGCCGUCGGCUUUCCCGACCCACGCGCACUGGUACGAGUCGGCGGUGCUGGCGGCGUCCGGGGGCGGCGGGGGGUGGCCCGAGGGCGGCCCGCUGAUCCACACCUACUCGUCGGCGCUCCAUGGGUUCUCCGCGCGGAUGUCGCCGUCGGCCGCGGCGGCGCUGGCCGGCGCCCGCGGGGUGGCGGCCGUGCUGCCGGAGCGCGUCCGCUGCCUGGACACCACGCGCUCGCCGCGGUUCCUCGGGAUGCUCUCCUCCCCGCCCUCGGCCAUCCUCGCCGACUCCGACUUCGGCUCCGACCUCGUCAUCGCCGUCAUCGACACCGGCAUCUCGCCCGCGCACCGCAGCUUCCGCGACCGCGGCCUCGGCCCGGUCCCGCCCAGGUGGCGCGGGGCGUGCGCGUCCGGGCCCGGCUUCCCGCCCGGCUCCUGCAACCGCAAGCUCGUCGGGGCGCGCUUCUUCUCCGCGGGCUACGAGGCCACCUCCGGCCGGAUGAACGAGACCGCCGAGGUCAGGUCGCCGCUCGACAACGACGGCCACGGCACCCACACGGCCUCCAUCGCCGCGGGCCGCUACGUGUUCCCGGCGUCCACCCUCGGCUACGCCCGCGGCGUCGCCUCCGGGAUGGCGCCCAAGGCGCGCCUCGCCGCGUACAAGGUGUGCUGGGCGGGCGGCUGCUUCGACUCCGACAUCCUCGCGGCCUUCGACGCCGCCGUCGCUGACGGCGUCGACGUUGUUUCUCUCAGCGUCGGCGGUGCCGUGGUGCCGUACUAUCUCGACGCCAUCGCGAUUGGGGCGUUCGGCGCGACAGAGGCUGGCAUCGUUGUGUCUGCUUCGGCCGGCAAUGGCGGCCCAGGUGGGCUCUCGGUGACCAAUGUGGCGCCCUGGAUGACCACCGUAGGCGCCGGGUCCAUGGACCGCGCCUUCCCGGCCAACGUGCGCCUCGGCAACGGCCAAGUGCUCGACGGGGUGAGCGUGUACGGCGGGCCGGUGCUCCAGUCCGGCAAAAUGUACGAGCUGGUGUACGCGGGGGCAACCAGUUACUCUGCGUCGACGUGCCUCGACGGGUCGCUGGACCAGGCGGCCGUGCGCGGGAAGAUCGUGGUGUGCGACCGCGGCGUGAACUCGCGCGCCGCCAAGGGCGACGUGGUUCACCGCGCGGGCGCCGCCGGGAUGGUGCUCGCCAACGGGGCGUUCGACGGGGAGGGCCUGGUGGCCGACUGCCACGUCCUGCCAGCCACCGCCGUCGGUGCAGCCGCCGGUGAGAAGCUCCGUAAGUACAUCGCGUCGUCCACCCCGCAGAAGCCGGCCACGGGCACCAUCGUGUUCGAAGGCACCCACCUCGGCGUGCACCCAGCGCCGGUGGUGGCGGCGUUCUCGGCGCGCGGCCCGAACCCCCAAUCUCCAGAGACACUCAAGCCGGACCUGAUAGCCCCCGGCCUGAACAUCCUCGCCGCGUGGCCCAGCGGCGUCGGCCCGGCAGGCAUCCCCUCGGACGGCCGGCGCACGGAGUUCAACAUCCUCUCCGGCACGUCCAUGGCCUGCCCGCACGUCUCCGGCCUGGCGGCGCUGCUGAAGGCGGCGCACCCGACGUGGAGCCCCGCGGCCAUCAAGUCGGCGCUCAUGACCACGGCCUACACCAGGGACAACAGUAACGGCACGAUGCUCGACGAGUCCACCGGCAAGGUGGCGGACGUGUUCGACUUCGGCGCGGGGCACGUGGACCCGAUGCGCGCCAUGGACCCGGGCCUCGUCUACGACAUCGCGCCGGCGGACUACGUCAGCUUCCUCUGCAACCUCAACUACACGGGGCAGAACAUCCGGGCGAUCACGCGGCGGCAGGCCGACUGCCGGGGCGCGCGCCGCGCCGGGCACGCCGGCAACCUCAACUACCCGUCCCUCUCCGUCACGUUCGUGGCGGACGGCGCGAGGGCGAAGAUGAGGACCCACUUCAUCCGGACGGUGACCAACGUGGGCGGCGGCAGGUCGGCCUACCGCGCGACCGUGAGGUCGCCGGAGGGGUGCAAUGUCACGGUGCGGCCCGACCGGCUGGCGUUCCGGCGCGACGGGCAGAAGCUGAGCUUCACGGUGCACGUGGAGGCCGCGGCGCGGGCGAGGAUGGAGCCCGGCAGCUCCCUGGUGAGGAGCGGGGCGCUGACGUGGGGCGACGGCAGGCACGCCGUGGUGAGCCCGAUCGUGGUGACACUGCAAGCGCCAGUGCAGUAG
This 2334-nucleotide ribosomal RNA is filed under the name Triticum aestivum (bread wheat). RNAcentral's name for it is "partial small subunit ribosomal RNA". Lineage: Eukaryota; Viridiplantae; Streptophyta; Magnoliopsida; Poales; Poaceae. The record is from RNAcentral.